CUCUCUCUCUCUCUCUCUCUGGCUCUCUGUAGCUCUCAGAUUGCUUAAUUGGUGAUUGGCAGUGGGAAGAGCUACACCUGUGACAAGUAGAUUGCACCUGAUAGACUAGGAUAUAUAUACUACAGCCCCGUGAUCCUGCUGGGUCCUCUACACAGACGGGCCUGGAGGAUCACCCCAUCUGUUUGCCACCUCAUCAUUUACCAUUAUACUAAAUUAAUUCAUUGUUGUACUGAGAUGUGGAUACUUGCAGUUAUCUUCAAAGUGCAUUGUGAAAUUUGUCUAAAUUCUGGAUUAAAUCAUUAUUGUUGAAUCUCUCUUGUUAGACUCCAUUUUAUGUUGUGGUUUGCCUGUGGCUAGCCGUAACAUAAUUGGGGGCUCGUCCGGGAUCUGAACCCGGGUCUUUAUUCUAUACCCCUGGAUAUUUGGAUUUGGACUUGGUAUUUGGUAGUAGGCUAGUCUAGAGAAUCAGUCACAUGUCAACACUGUUCUAGUAUGUGAUUGCCCUCCCUCUCUUCGGUUCUUGGUGGUGGUGAGUAUUUGCAUCCGAGUGUGUGGCCUGCGUGUACUCGCCCGAUUUAGAAAGUUGUUUGUCAUUUUCUUGUUUUAUCUUUUUUGUUUUUGAUAGCGUCCCGGUGGGGGUUCGUUUCGGAGUGUGGGUUCUUGAGGGUUCCCCAUUUGCACUCACGAGUUCAACGUUUAAUAUGCUCCGAGUCCGGUAAGCUAUUGAAGACUAGAGAGAAAUGAGACUGGUGUAUGUUGUAGAAUAGGAGGUCGAGCGAUUUCACGCAGGUCUACGUUGUCCUUGGGUGGCAUACUCUCCACUUCGUUUGAUAAUUAUUGCUUUCUGUCUGUUUAUUUGGGCGUUAUGUCCGCUGAGAGGAACGGGAUUUAGUUCGGUAAUUAUCACGAAGAGUUAAUUGUGACGUUUUUUUUUUUCUAAUUACGGCAUUUGGUAGACUUGGGGUUCAAUAAGGUAGCUUAUUAAUUGCUGCGUUUAGUAUUAUAGCAGUUCUUGUGGUAUGAACUCGCACUUGAAUCGGAUUCUGGUAGCAAAACUCCCUUACGUCAAGUUGCGGUUGUGCUGGGCGAUUACUGGCUCUUUAAGGCUUUGGGGUUGAUCUGAAUACCUAAAGUUUCCGUGAGCUAUAGUGACGCCUGUAUUGACGAAUUUGUUUGCUACUUCCGUGUUUUCGUGCGUGCUACAUUGUUGUCAUUAGUAUUUGCCACUUCUAGGCUACUAUCAAUAAACAUUCGCCUGAUCCGGCGUUUUGUUUAUGGAUUUGAGUGACGGCGCCAGGGCUGCAGACGAUGGCGGUUGAGCUUGAAGUUGUAAGUAUGUGGACCUGGGGGGGGGGAAAGAAUAUAUUAAAGAUCUAUAAAAUGACUACCAUCAGCUCGCCUCUCCUUACCUCGGAUCUGCAUGACCACGUUUUAACAUUGUAGGUGCGAUGUCGGGGGUAGGUUGGUAAACGAGGGGGGGGGGGAAGGAUUAUUAUUUGUUUGAGUAAAUGCCCUAAAGUGCAUUACCUCUAGACUACUACGUAGUGUUAUGAUAUUUAUCAUUUAUUAUUAUUUACUGUCUCCACUUGGUAAUUAUUGUUUGUUAUAGCUGCUGAGUAUAUGGUUGCAUGUAUUUGGCUUCUUCUUUGUAGGAAACCUUUUAAGGGGGGAGGUGUUAUGUGCGCCCCUAUGUCUUGGUGUAUGUGGGGGGGCGCGUCUCUCUCUCUCUCUCUCUCUCUCUCUGGCUCUCUGUAGCUCUCAGAUUGCUUAAUUGGUGAUUGGCAGUGGGAAGAGCUACACCUGUGACAAGUAGAUUGCACCUGAUAGACUAGGAUAUAUAUACUACAGCCCCGUGAUCCUGCUGGGUCCUCUACACAGACGGGCCUGGAGGAUCACCCCAUCUGUUUGCCACCUCAUCAUUUACCAUUAUACUAAAUUAAUUCAUUGUUGUACUGAGAUGUGGAUACUUGCAGUUAUCUUCAAAGUGCAUUGUGAAAUUUGUCUAAAUUCUGGAUUAAAUCAUUAUUGUUGAA
Anguilla rostrata (American eel) is the source of this 2033-nucleotide long non-coding RNA. RefSeq lists it as uncharacterized. The record is from RefSeq and is a predicted model, not a curated record. NCBI's taxonomy places the organism in Eukaryota, Metazoa, Chordata, Actinopteri, Anguilliformes, Anguillidae. The transcript has 2 exons.